RNAcentral lists this ribosomal RNA (207 nucleotides) under uncultured bacterium. RNAcentral's name for it is "partial 16S ribosomal RNA". It matches the Rfam family "Bacterial small subunit ribosomal RNA", at positions 568 to 774 of the family's 1533-position model. The record is from RNAcentral.
CUCGUAGGUGGUGUGUCGCGUCGUCUGUGAAAUUCCGGGGCUUAACUCCGGGCGUGCAGGCGAUACGGGCACGACUAGAGUGCUGUAGGGGUAACUGGAAUUCCUGGUGUAGCGGUGAAAUGCGCAGAUAUCAGGAGGAACAUCCGUGGCGAAGGCGACUGCCUGGGCCAACACUGACACUGAGGCACGAAAGCUGGGGAGCAAACA